This is a long non-coding RNA of Pseudophryne corroboree (corroboree frog), 984 nucleotides long. RefSeq lists it as uncharacterized. The record is from RefSeq and is a predicted model, not a curated record. The transcript has 4 exons. NCBI's taxonomy places the organism in Eukaryota, Metazoa, Chordata, Amphibia, Anura, Myobatrachidae.
AUGGGAGGAUCAUCAUCCUCUAUAGCUAAUAUUCUAAGUGCAGUGCAAGUGUGCUCAAGCAAUGGUGUCCGCUAAAUGAGAUUAGAUGUAAAAUGAAAAAAAUGUACACAAGAACAUCAUAUAUUAUACAAAAUCGGACCCUGACCAAAACGUUUUUGUGAUGACAUAAUUGCAGCUGCCUCACGCUCAUCUCAUGCUGCAUUGUCAGGGCAGAAGAGGAACUGGGACUGGCUUGGGGUAAACCACUGCUUUGGAGGUUUCUUUUCAGACCCGAGAACCACUGUUUUGUGUUUGGACUGCUACAUCUGAGAGGUGAUGGAGUCCUGCUGGCUGACAAUCAGAAGUGAUGUGGAGGAACCUGAGGAUGUCAGAUUUUAUCUUCAUAUCUGGUUCAUCACCUUUUGGAAAAGUACUGUACAAACUGCAAUAAUAAGACUGCAAAAAUAUGAAAGGAGAAUGGGAAAAUGAAAAUAGGGCACGCAGACCAAAAAGCAUGAGAACGAAGAUCUUACCUACAGUUUAUCAUUUAUUUUAUAGAAUAUGAAUAUUUUGGUUUUCAACUUUACAUUUUAUUUUUAUUCACUGUAUUAUGUAGCAAAUAUUUACUGUAAAUCAACCCAAGGCUUCACACUAGACCAACAGUUUCAUAUGGACCCCCACCUGAAAACGCGCUAGAAACCGCGCUAGUUAUACCAUGUAUGCUGUAUAUCCUAGCAGGGAUGAGGUUAAUCAGAUGAUCACUGGAUCAGGAGUUUAACUUAACCAGCGGAUGUCUGGUCACUGUGGAUGGAGACAGAUUAUACCACUAUAAAUCCUUAAAGACAUAAGCCAUGACUGUUUUAUGAGGACUUGUCUACUAUUCAUGUAUUUCAGACAGAGAAUUAACAUCUAACUCCAAUUUAUUUGCAGCAUAUACAUUUUAUUAUUGACUUUUAAUGUUUUUUGCUUUUCAAUAAAAGAGAAUUUGGUAAAAAUAUAACAAAA